Molecule: ribosomal RNA, 207 nt
Filed under: uncultured bacterium
Lineage: Bacteria
Description: partial 16S ribosomal RNA
Rfam family: Bacterial small subunit ribosomal RNA
Source: RNAcentral
CGUGUAGGCGGCUAGGUAGGUCCGUUGUGAAAACUCGAGGCUCAACCUCGAGACGUCGAUGGAAACCAUCUAGCUAGAGUCCGGAAGAGGAGAGUGGAAUUCCUGGUGUAGCGGUGAAAUGCGCAGAUAUCAGGAAGAACACCCGUGGCGAAGGCGGCUCUCUGGUACGUGACUGACGCUGAGACGCGAAAGCGUGGGGAGCAAACA